Molecule: ribosomal RNA, 777 nt
Filed under: uncultured Neocallimastigales
Lineage: Eukaryota; Fungi; Neocallimastigomycota; Neocallimastigomycetes; Neocallimastigales
Description: partial large subunit ribosomal RNA
Rfam family: Eukaryotic large subunit ribosomal RNA
Source: RNAcentral
AUAUCAGUCAUGCAUAGCAUAUCAAUAAGCGGAGGAAAAGAAACUAACAAGGAUUCCCCUAGUAACUGCGAGUGAAGCGGGAAGAGCUCAAAUUUGAAAUCUUAAAAGGUUUUCCUUUUACGAAUUGUAGUUUAAAGAAGUGUUUUCUGUUGAAAUUUUAGUAAAAGUUCUUUGGAAUAGGACAUCAUAGAGGGUGAGAAUCCCGUAUUUGACUAGAAUUUUUCAACUUUGUGAUACACUUUCAAAGAGUCGGAUUGUUUGGGAAUGCAGUCCAAAAUGGGUGGUAAAUUUCAUCUAAAGCUAAAUAUUGGCGAGAGACCGAUAGCGAACAAGUACCGUGAGGGAAAGAUGAAAAGAACUUUGAAAAGAGAGUUAAAUAGUACGUGAAAUUGUCAAAAGGGAAGCGUUUGGCACCAGUGUUGUUUUUCUAAAAAUCAAUUUAAAAUUUACUUAUGUUAAGUAUUUUAGACUUUAUCAGCUAUAUAUUUAAUUUUUUGUAAUUUUUGAAUGCACUUUUUAGUUAACAAGUCAACAUCAAUUUCUUUUGUUGUAAAAAAAUAAGAGGAAGGUGGCUUGGAAUUUAUUUUCAAGUGUUUAUAGCCUUUUAUUUCUGCAAUAGGAGGGAUUGAGGUCUGCAGCAUAGAUCCUUCGGGGCUAGAUGCAUUUUCGCUAAGAGUCAGUAUUAUAUAAACAACUUGUUGAUUAUGUAGUAUGUUGAUUUUUACUCGGGAGUGUUAUUUUACCUACGCUUAGGAUGUUGAUCUACAGAGCGAGAGU